Molecule: ribosomal RNA, 252 nt
Filed under: Francisella tularensis subsp. holarctica
Lineage: Bacteria; Pseudomonadati; Pseudomonadota; Gammaproteobacteria; Thiotrichales; Francisellaceae
Description: partial 23S ribosomal RNA
Rfam family: Bacterial large subunit ribosomal RNA
Source: RNAcentral
GACCCGGAGAUUUCCGAAUGGGGGAACCCACCUUACACAAGUUGGGUACUCACUCGAUAUAGAGUGUAGAGCGAACGAGGGGAACUGAAACAUCUAAGUACACUUAGGAAGAGAAAUCAAUUGAGAUUCCCGUAGUAGUGGCGAGCGAAGUGGGAAGAGCCUGGAAUGAUUUAGCUGUAAUUAUAGUAGAACAAGAUGGGAAGCUUGACGAUAGAGGGUGAUAUUACCGUAUACGAAAUAAUCACAGUGGAA